CUGACCUCAAAUCAGGGUAGGACUACCCGCUGAACUUAAGCAUAUCAAUAAGCGGAGGA
RNAcentral lists this ribosomal RNA (59 nucleotides) under Trametes versicolor. Its description in RNAcentral is "partial 28S ribosomal RNA". Lineage: Eukaryota; Fungi; Basidiomycota; Agaricomycetes; Polyporales; Polyporaceae. The record is from RNAcentral.